UUUGCGUUUUCCAGCAUGCUUUAGAAAAGUGCUCCUGAGGAUGAAAUUAACCUCCAGUGCUGAAAUAACGGCAGUGAGCUACACAUUUCUAAAUCAGCUGCAGUCUGCUCUGGGCUUGAGCUCGGCCUCUGAUGUUAAACUGUCCUGGUCCAGACUCCCGUACCGCGUCGCUACAAACGAGAAGAAACCCACGAGGACUUGUGCUGGCAAACGUUAAACUGGAUCCACAGGCUGAGUCUUGGUUACACGAGUUAUUUAUAAUUCAUUGAUUUCUGCUAACAUUUUCAUUGCCUUGUUGUACAUGGUUCAUAUACGUGGUUCGAAACAUUCUGUAUAAAUACGCAAUAUUUGUUUACCUCUGUUACAAUACAGAGAUGUGUAUCUCAAAAUUAAAAUAUAUUAUUAUUAUGUGAUUUAUCACGCGUAUCGACAGCGUAGUCAAUCAAUCAAUCACUUUUCUUCAUC
This is a long non-coding RNA of Puntigrus tetrazona (Sumatra barb), 465 nucleotides long. RefSeq lists it as uncharacterized. NCBI's taxonomy places the organism in Eukaryota, Metazoa, Chordata, Actinopteri, Cypriniformes, Cyprinidae. The record is from RefSeq and is a predicted model, not a curated record. The transcript is spliced from 3 exons.